This 242-nucleotide ribosomal RNA is filed under the name uncultured bacterium. RNAcentral's name for it is "partial small subunit ribosomal RNA". It matches the Rfam family "Bacterial small subunit ribosomal RNA", at positions 26 to 285 of the family's 1533-position model. The record is from RNAcentral.
AGAAUCAACGCUGGCGGCGUGCCUAACACAUGCAAGUCGAACGAGAAAGUGGAGCAAUCCAUGAGUAAAGUGGCGCACGGGUGAGUAACACGUGACUAACCUACCCUCGAGUGGGGAAUAACCUACGGGAAACCGGGCUAACACCGCAUAACAUCUACGGAUCAAAUGCGUAAGCAGCUUGAGGGAGGGGUCGCGGCUGAUUAGCUAGUUGGCGGGUAAUGGCCCACAGGCAGUGAUCAGUA